GGGGGGAGGCUGGAUCCCGGGCUGUGCCCGGCGCCCUGUGCUCCUGGGACUGCGCUGUUAGAUUCGCGCUCCCGCCCCGCAGCCCCCU
RNAcentral lists this microRNA precursor (88 nucleotides) under Canis lupus familiaris (dog). RNAcentral's name for it is "mir-8799 microRNA precursor family". It matches the Rfam family "mir-8799 microRNA precursor family". The record is from Rfam by way of RNAcentral. Lineage: Eukaryota; Metazoa; Chordata; Mammalia; Carnivora; Canidae.